Molecule: ribosomal RNA, 205 nt
Filed under: uncultured bacterium
Lineage: Bacteria
Description: partial 16S ribosomal RNA
Rfam family: Bacterial small subunit ribosomal RNA
Source: RNAcentral
UUCCUUAAAGUGGGGAGUAGCCAGAGAAAUUGGAUUAAUACCCGUAACAUUAUGAGAUGGCAUCAUUUUAUAAUUAAAGCUCCGGCGCUUAAAGAUGGGUGUGCGGCUGAUUAGGUAGUUGGUGAGGGUAACGGCCCACCAAGCCUUCGAUCAGUAACUGGUGUGAGAGCACGACCAGUCACACGGGCACUGAGACACGGGCCCG